RNAcentral lists this ribosomal RNA (239 nucleotides) under uncultured bacterium. Its description in RNAcentral is "partial 16S ribosomal RNA". It matches the Rfam family "Bacterial small subunit ribosomal RNA", at positions 524 to 762 of the family's 1533-position model. The record is from RNAcentral.
UACGUAGGUGGCAAGCGUUGUCCGGAUUUAUUGGGUUUAAAGGGUGCGUAGGUUGUUCCAUAAGUCAGUGGUGAAAUACGGCAGCUCAACUGUCGAGGUGCCAUUGAUACUGCGGAACUUGAGUACAGACGAGGUAGGCGGAAUUGACGGUGUAGCGGUGAAAUGCUUAGAUAUCGUCAAGAACACCGAUAGCGAAGGCAGCUUACUAGACUGUAACUGACACUGAGGCACGAAAGUGU